This 1693-nucleotide long non-coding RNA is filed under the name Phascolarctos cinereus (koala). Its description in RNAcentral is "lncRNA (ENSPCIG00000034871.1)". The record is from RNAcentral. Lineage: Eukaryota; Metazoa; Chordata; Mammalia; Diprotodontia; Phascolarctidae.
AUGAGCAAGACCAAGGACCCAGGACCCAGGUAUUGUACCAGGACCAAGGAUCCAGGACCCAGGACCCAGGCCUUCCACCAGGAGCCAGGACCCAGGACUCAGGACCCAGGCCUUGCACCAGGAGCCAGGACCCGGGCCUUCCACCAGGACCCAGGAAUCUGGCCUCGAACUAGGACCCAGGACCCAUGUCCUUUCACCAGGAGCCAGGAGCCAGGACCCAGGCCUUCCAUCAGGAGCCAGGAGUCAGGACCCAGGCCUUGUACCAGGAACAAGGAUCCAGGACCUAGGACCAAGGCCUUCAUCAGCAGCCAGCACCGAGGACCCAUGCCCUUUCACCAGGAGCCAGGACCCAGGACCCAGGACCCAUACCCUUUCACCAGGAGCCAGGACCAAGGACCCAGGACCUUUCACCAGGAGCCUGGACCAAGCACCCAGGAUCCAGGUCUUGUACCAGGACCAAGGAUCCAGGACCCAGGACCAAGGCCUUCAUCAGAAGCCAACACCAAGGACCCAGGCUUUGCACCAGCAUCCAGGAGCCAGGACCCAUGCCCUUUCACCAGGAGGCAGGACCAAGGACCCAGGAUCCAGGUAUUGUACCAGGACCAAGAAUCCAGGAUCCAGGAGUCAGGACUCAGGCCUCUCAUCGGGAGCCAGGAGUCAGGACCCAGGCCUUCUACCAGGAGCCAGCCCUAGGACCAAGGCCUUCCACCAGGAACCAGGACCCAGCACCUAGGCCCUUUCUCCAGGAGCCAGGACCAAGGACCCAGAAUCUAGGCCUUGUACCAGGACCAAGGAUCCAGGAGCCAGGAGUCAGGACCCAGACCUUGCAUCAGGAGCCAGGACCCAGGAUCCAGCCUUUCCACCAGUACUCAGGACCCAGAACCCAGGGCUUCCCACCAGGAGCCAAGACCCAGGAUCUAGGCCUUGUAGCAGGACCAAGGACCCAGGACCCAGGACCAAGGCUUUGUACCAGGAGCCAGCACCCAGGAGCCAGGACUCAGGCCUUCCACCAGGAGUCAGGACAAAGUACCUAGGCCUUGUACCAGGAACAAGGAUCCAGAACCUAGUACAAGGCCUUCUACCAGGAGCCAGCACCUAGGACCAACGCUUUCCACUAGGAACCAGGACUGAGUAAUCUGGUCUUGAACUAGGACCCAGGACCAAGGAUCCAGGACCCAGGCCUUCCACCAGGAGCCAGCUCCUAGGACCAAGGCCUUCCACCAGGAACCAGGAACCAGGACCCAGGAAUCUGGCCUUGAACUAGGAUCCAGGACCCAUGCCCUUUCACCAGGAGCCAGGAGUCAGAACCCAGGCCUUGCACCAGGAACUAGGAAGGAUGACCUAGGACUCAGGCAUUCCACCAGGGGCCAGGACCCAGGAUCCAUGCCUUCCACCAGGAGGUAGGACAAAGGACCCAGGAACCAAGCCUUCUACCAAGAGCCAGGAUGGAUGACUUAGGACCCAGGCCUUCCACCAGGAGUCAGGACACAGGAACCUACACCUAGGCCUUCCACCAGGAACUAGAACCUAGGAUCCAGGCUCCAGGCAUUCUACUAGGUCCCAGGAUCCAGGACCCAGAGCUUCCACCAGGACCCAGUACCCAGGCCUUGCACCAGGAGCCAGCACCCAGGCAUUGCACCAGGAACCAGGACCCAGGAUCCAGGACUCAGACCUUGUACCGGGACCCAGGACC